CAAUUAAAUCCACAGCGUGAUUCUAAGAAGCACGCAUAUAUGCACACUUGAUAUUGUUUAUUCUUACUGCUGAUUUGAGAGACUGAUUCAAACACCAAGUUCACAUAAUUGGCAUAUUGUAACUUUCCUAAAUUCAUUUAGAAAUUUAUUCCAAGUGCAUGCCAAAUUAGAAAUUUAUUUCAUAUACACUAAAUUUCCUCGAAAUUUAAUAUCCCGCAGAUAAAAUUUUGACUUUAGCUCAUCUCCCUUUACACAACUUCCUUAUAGCUUAAACCCUCUCUCGCAAAACCAUUUCUGAUUCAUAUCCCCAGAUUCUCGAAUUACUUUUAAACAGAUUCCAACUGAUUCGAAUUGAUUCUCUCUCUCAGUGUUCCUGUUCGGUUGUGGAUUAAGCAGAAUCAACAGACCAUGAGCGUACUAUCAAGAGACUAAUCAUCGAAAACAGGACCAAAAUGACCAUGGACCGAACUUCACCACCCGAAACCCCAUCCAGAGACCCCAAACCCAUCAAAGUCCUUUCUAUCGAGUGUCUCAAAGGUAGUUCCAAAGCCGACGAAUGGACUGGCGACAUGCUCCAGACCGGCGAUAUAGUUGAAGAAAUCAGGAUCGGGUCAGGUUCGUCUUCAGGAUCCGGGUCUUAUCAAUCGUUUAAGGCUCCGUUCAAGAAUGGAAAGAGUGGGGUCCAGAAGAUUCUUCAUGUCUCGUUUAAGAAUAAAGAGACUUCAAUUCUCGUUCGAGUCAGGCGAGGCCGGGACGAGUUCGCAGAGUUGCAAGCGUGUAUCGUGCCGGAGUCCGGAUCUAAAAAGCAGUACAUUUUGAGGUCUAUUGCUGAUCCCAAUUAUACUGUCGGGUUCUCAGAUCGGUCCGAGGCGGAUUGCUUCGAGUUGCAAGGUUCAAGAAGCUCCAGAAUUGCUAGUGCACUAUCCAGGGCUACACUUCAAGACGGAUAUGUGUCAUAUCCAUGGAUGAUGAGGAUGCAGGAGGUGCUACCAGUUCCGAAUUCUAGCUGCUUUCUUUCUAUACUACUCCUUCCUAAAGUUUCGGAUCGAGUUGCUUCUCGGUACAAUGACUUGGAUGACACUCUUGCAAGGGCGAAUACAUGGCUGUAUGCAUCUCAGGCCUCUGGGGUCCCUAUUGUUUUCAUGAAUAUUCAGACCGAGUCCCUGCUCACAAAGAUAUCUGGAGAGACAGCCUCUUCUACUGUGAAUG
RNAcentral lists this unclassified non-coding RNA (1209 nucleotides) under Hevea brasiliensis (rubber tree). Lineage: Eukaryota; Viridiplantae; Streptophyta; Magnoliopsida; Malpighiales; Euphorbiaceae. The record is from RNAcentral.